GGGCACAUGGUGUAGUUGGUUAUCACGCCCGCUUAGCAUAUGGUGUUUGCGGGCGGUGCCCGGUUCAAUUCCGGGUGUGUCCA
RNAcentral lists this transfer RNA (83 nucleotides) under Termitomyces sp. T159_Od127. RNAcentral describes it as "tRNA-Ala". It matches the Rfam family "tRNA". Rfam says of the family: Transfer RNA (tRNA) molecules are approximately 80 nucleotides in length. Their secondary structure includes four short double-helical elements and three loops (D, anti-codon, and T loops). The record is from RNAcentral. Lineage: Eukaryota; Fungi; Basidiomycota; Agaricomycetes; Agaricales; Lyophyllaceae.